RNAcentral lists this ribosomal RNA (1606 nucleotides) under Salmonella enterica subsp. indica. Its description in RNAcentral is "partial 23S ribosomal RNA". It matches the Rfam family "Bacterial large subunit ribosomal RNA", at positions 1211 to 2800 of the family's 2925-position model. Lineage: Bacteria; Pseudomonadati; Pseudomonadota; Gammaproteobacteria; Enterobacterales; Enterobacteriaceae. The record is from RNAcentral.
ACUUAAGUGUUGUUGGGUAGGGGAGCGUUCUGUAAGCCUGUGAAGGUGGCCUGUGAGGGUUGCUGGAGGUAUCAGAAGUGCGAAUGCUGACAUAAGUAACGAUAAAGCGGGUGAAAAGCCCGCUCGCCGGAAGACCAAGGGUUCCUGUCCAACGUUAAUCGGGGCAGGGUGAGUCGACCCCUAAGGCGAGGCCGAAAGGCGUAGUCGAUGGGAAACGGGUUAAUAUUCCCGUACUUGGUGUUACUGCGAAGGGGGGACGGAGAAGGCUAUGUUGGCCGGGCGACGGUUGUCCCGGUUUAAGCGUGUAGGCUGGUUUUCCAGGCAAAUCCGGAAAAUCAAGGCUGAGGCGUGACGACGAGGCACCACGGUGCUGAAGCAACAAAUGCCCUGCUUCCAGGAAAAGCCUCUAAGCAUCAGGUAACACGAAAUCGUACCCCAAACCGACACAGGUGGUCAGGUAGAGAAUACCAAGGCGCUUGAGAGAACUCGGGUGAAGGAACUAGGCAAAAUGGUGCCGUAACUUCGGGAGAAGGCACGCUGACACGUAGGUGAAGUGAUUUACUCAUGGAGCUGAAGUCAGUCGAAGAUACCAGCUGGCUGCAACUGUUUAUUAAAAACACAGCACUGUGCAAACACGAAAGUGGACGUAUACGGUGUGACGCCUGCCCGGUGCCGGAAGGUUAAUUGAUGGGGUUAUCCUCGCGGAGAAGCUCCUGAUCGAAGCCCCGGUAAACGGCGGCCGUAACUAUAACGGUCCUAAGGUAGCGAAAUUCCUUGUCGGGUAAGUUCCGACCUGCACGAAUGGCGUAAUGAUGGCCAGGCUGUCUCCACCCGAGACUCAGUGAAAUUGAACUCGCUGUGAAGAUGCAGUGUACCCGCGGCAAGACGGAAAGACCCCGUGAACCUUUACUAUAGCUUGACACUGAACAUUGAGCCUUGAUGUGUAGGAUAGGUGGGAGGCUUUGAAGCGUGGACGCCAGUCUGCGUGGAGCCAACCUUGAAAUACCACCCUUUAAUGUUUGAUGUUCUAACGUGGACCCGUUACCCGGGUUGCGGACAGUGUCUGGUGGGUAGUUUGACUGGGGCGGUCUCCUCCCAAAGAGUAACGGAGGAGCACGAAGGUUGGCUAAUCCUGGUCGGACAUCAGGAGGUUAGUGCAAUGGCAUAAGCCAGCUUGACUGCGAGCGUGACGGCGCGAGCAGGUGCGAAAGCAGGUCAUAGUGAUCCGGUGGUUCUGAAUGGAAGGGCCAUCGCUCAACGGAUAAAAGGUACUCCGGGGAUAACAGGCUGAUACCGCCCAAGAGUUCAUAUCGACGGCGGUGUUUGGCACCUCGAUGUCGGCUCAUCACAUCCUGGGGCUGAAGUAGGUCCCAAGGGUAUGGCUGUUCGCCAUUUAAAGUGGUACGCGAGCUGGGUUUAGAACGUCGUGAGACAGUUCGGUCCCUAUCUGCCGUGGGCGCUGGAGAACUGAGGGGGGCUGCUCCUAGUACGAGAGGACCGGAGUGGACGCAUCACUGGUGUUCGGGUUGUCAUGCCAAUGGCACUGCCCGGUAGCUAAAUGCGGAAGAGAUAAGUGCUGAAAGCAUCUAAGCACGAAACUUGCCCC